This 335-nucleotide unclassified non-coding RNA is filed under the name soil metagenome. RNAcentral describes it as "partial contains 5.8S ribosomal RNA, internal transcribed spacer 2, and large subunit ribosomal RNA". The stretch from base 1 to 120 matches the Rfam family "5.8S ribosomal RNA", at positions 35 to 154 of the family's 154-position model. The record is from RNAcentral.
GAUGAAGAACGUAGCGAAAUGCGAUAAGUAAUGUGAAUUGCAGAAUUCAGUGAAUCAUCGAAUCUUUGAACGCACAUUGCGCCCGCCAGUAUUCUGGCGGGCAUGCCUGUUCGAGCGUCAUUUCAACCAUCAAGCCCCCGGGCUUGUGUUGGGGACCUGCGGCUGCCGCAGGCCCUGAAAACCAGUGGCGGGCUCGCUAGUCACUCCGAGCGUAGUAGUUACAUCUCGCUCAGGGCGUGCUGCGGGUUCCGGCCGUUAAAAGCCUUUUACCCCAAGGUUGACCUCGGAUCAGGUAGGAAGACCCGCUGAACUUAAGAAUAUCAAUAAGCGGAGGA